UACGUAGGGGGCAAGCGUUGUCCGGAAUCAUUGGGCGUAAAGCGCGCGUAGGCGGCCCGGUAAGUCCGUUGUGAAAGUCAAAGGCUCAACCUUUGAACGCCGAUGGAUACUGCCGGGCUAGAGUCCGGAAGAGGCGAGUGGAAUUCCUGGUGUAGCGGUGGAAUGCGCAGAUAUCAGGAAGAACACCCGUGGCGAAGGCGGCUCUCUGGGACGGUACUGACGCUGAGACGCGAAAGCGUGGGGAGCGAACAGG
RNAcentral lists this ribosomal RNA (253 nucleotides) under uncultured bacterium. Its description in RNAcentral is "partial 16S ribosomal RNA". It matches the Rfam family "Bacterial small subunit ribosomal RNA", at positions 524 to 776 of the family's 1533-position model. The record is from RNAcentral.